AUAUCAUGUUAAAACAUCGGUUCUCAUACGAACACCGAGGUUAAGCAACAUCAAACCUGGUCAGUACCUAGAUGGGUGACUACAUUGGAAUACCAGGCACUGCAAG
Non-coding RNA from Acanthosepion pharaonis, 106 nucleotides. NCBI's taxonomy places the organism in Eukaryota, Metazoa, Mollusca, Cephalopoda, Sepiida, Sepiidae. The record is from the annotation of a GenBank genome assembly.